ACUAUUUGAGGUGGAAAAUUUUGUUGCCUUCCACACGCCGAUGGUAUGACAAAGGCGGCAUUGCCGCUUUGAGAGAUGCAGGAGAAGUGUACGCCUGCCGAACAGC
This 106-nucleotide non-coding RNA is filed under the name unclassified sequences. Its description in RNAcentral is "skipping-rope RNA". It matches the Rfam family "skipping-rope RNA". From Rfam's summary of the family: Firmicutes, Fusobacteria, AlphaProteobacteria, Spirochaetes. Downstream gene The record is from Rfam by way of RNAcentral.